GAUGAACGCUGGCGGCGUACCUAAUACAUGCAAGUCGAGCGAACAGACGAGGAGCUUGCUCCUCUGACGUUAGCGGCGGACGGGUGAGUAACACGUGGAUAACCUACCUAUAAGACUGGGAUAACUUCGGGAAACCGGAGCUAAUACCGGAUAAUAUAUUGAACCGCCUGGUUCAAUAGUGAAAGACGGUUUUGCUGUCACUUAUAGAUGGAUCCGCGCCGCAUUAGCUAGUUGGUAAGGUAACGGCUUACCAAGGCAACGAUGCGUAGCCGACCUGAGAGGGUGAUCGGCCACACUGGAACUGAGACACGGUCCAGACUCCUACGGGAGGCAGCAGUAGGGAAUCUUCCGCAAUGGGCGAAAGCCUGACGGAGCAACGCCGCGUGAGUGAUGAAGGUCUUCGGAUCGUAAAACUCUGUUAUUAGGGAAGAACAAAUGUGUAAGUAACUAUGCACGUCUUGACGGUACCUAAUCAGAAAGCCACGGCUAACUACGUG
Molecule: ribosomal RNA, 497 nt
Filed under: uncultured bacterium
Lineage: Bacteria
Description: partial 16S ribosomal RNA
Rfam family: Bacterial small subunit ribosomal RNA
Source: RNAcentral